Molecule: ribosomal RNA, 465 nt
Filed under: uncultured bacterium
Lineage: Bacteria
Description: bacterial SSU rRNA
Rfam family: Bacterial small subunit ribosomal RNA
Source: RNAcentral
ACUCCUACGGGAGGCAGCAGUGGGAAUAUUGCACAAUGGGCGCAAGCCUGAUGCAGCCAUGCCGCGUGUAUGAAGAAGGCCUUCGGGUUGUAAAGUACUUUCAGCAGUGAGGAAGGCGGGUACGUUAAUAGCGUGCUCGUUUGACGUUAGCUGCAGAAGAAGCACCGGCUAACUCCGUGCCAGCAGCCGCGGUAAUACGGAGGGUGCGAGCGUUAAUCGGAAUUACUGGGCGUAAAGAGCUCGUAGGCGGUUUGUCGCGUCUGUCGUGAAAGUCCGGGGCUCAACUCCGGAUCUGCGGUGGGUACGGGCAGACUAGAGUGAUGUAGGGGAGACUGGAAUUCCUGGUGUAGCGGUGGAAUGCGCAGAUAUCAGGAGGAACACCGAUGGCGAAGGCAGGUCUCUGGGCAUUAACUGACGCUGAGGAGCGAAAAGCAUGGGGAGCGAACAGGAUUAGAUACCCUGGUA